AGAGUUUGAUCCUGGCUCAGAACGAACGCUGGCGGCAGGCUUAACACAUGCAAGUCGAACGGUCUCUUCGGAGGCAGUGGCAGACGGGUGAGUAACGCGUGGGAACAUACCUUUCGGUACGGAACAACAGUUGGAAACGACUGCUAAUACCGUAUACGCCCUUCGGGGGAAAGAUUUAUCGCCGAGAGAUUGGCCCGCGUUGGAUUAGCUAGUUGGUGGGGUAAUGGCCUACCAAGGCGACGAUCCAUAGCUGGUCUGAGAGGAUGAUCAGCCACACUGGGACUGAGACACGGCCCAGACUCCUACGGGAGGCAGCAGUGGGGAAUAUUGGACAAUGGGGGCAACCCUGAUCCAGCCAUGCCGCGUGAGUGAUGAAGGCCCUAGGGUUGUAAAGCUCUUUCAGCGAGGAGGAUAAUGACGUUACUCGCAGAAGAAGCCCCGGCUAACUUCGUGCCAGCCGCCGCGGUAAUUC
Molecule: ribosomal RNA, 472 nt
Filed under: uncultured bacterium
Lineage: Bacteria
Description: bacterial SSU rRNA
Rfam family: Bacterial small subunit ribosomal RNA
Source: RNAcentral